AUCGGGCUGACGAGUCCCAAAUAGGACAAAUCGCGCGUCCUGGAU
Molecule: non-coding RNA, 45 nt
Organism: Schistosoma curassoni
Lineage: Eukaryota; Metazoa; Platyhelminthes; Trematoda; Strigeidida; Schistosomatidae
Source: Rfam